RNAcentral lists this transfer RNA (82 nucleotides) under Colletotrichum higginsianum. RNAcentral's name for it is "tRNA CH063_16358". It matches the Rfam family "tRNA". Rfam says of the family: Transfer RNA (tRNA) molecules are approximately 80 nucleotides in length. Lineage: Eukaryota; Fungi; Ascomycota; Sordariomycetes; Glomerellales; Glomerellaceae. The record is from RNAcentral.
GGUCCUCUGGCGCAACGGUAGCGCGUUCGACUCCAGCGAAGGUGUCAUCGAAAGGUUAUCCGUUCAAAUCGGGUGGGGAUCA